UGCACAAUUUAUCUCUUCACCAUACUUGUCAUCAGGAACUCCAAAAGCAACAGCCUGAGCAAUUUCCGGAUGAGAAGCUAGGACUGCAUCCACUUCAAUAGGUGAUAUUUUCUCUCCUCCACGGUUGAUCAACUCCUUGAUUCUGCCAACCAAAUGCAAGUAUCCAUCAGAGUCCAAAUAACCCACGUCUCCGGUAUGAAACCAACCAAACUGGAAAGCUGAUUUAUUAGCCUCUGGAUUGUUCUUGUACCCUUUCGUCACAUUUGGACCCCGAAUACAAACUUCCCCCUUAGCAUUAGGCCCUUGUACAACACCAUUUUCAUUCAAUAUCGCCAUCUCUUGACCCACGGGUUUCCCUACCGACCCGGGAAUAUGAGGUCCAUCCUCAGGUAAUGGGUUGGAAGCCAUCAAAUGAGUUGCCUCUGUCAUUGCAUAUGCCUCCAAAACAGGAGCCCCAAAUGCUUCUUCUAACCGGGCCAUCACUGAUGGAGCCAGUGCUGCACUACAGCUCCGAAUGAACCGGAGCUUUGGGUAAUCAGAUUCGGGUUUGUUGAGGUGACGAUCCAACAGAAUUUGGUGAAUUGUAGGCACAGCUGUAUACCAUGUUGCGUUGUAUUUUUUCAUGUCUGACCAAAAAGUUGUACCGGAAAAUCUCCCGGCAGAUGGAAGUGUCACGGAUGCUCCGGCUCCUAGUGAACUCAGUAACCCGGCCAUUAACCCGUGAACGUGAAACAACGGCAACACAAUAACCGUCGAAUCGGAGUCACAGAGUUUGUACACAGAUUUGAUAUUGUUCACUGAAGAUACCAAAUUAAGCUGAGAAAGAGGAACGCCUUUUGGCCGGCUCGUGGUGCCUGAUGUAUGAAGGAAAAGUCCAAUAUCCGAUGGGUCGUUAACGAUUUCGGCCGCCGAUUCAACGUUCGAUUCAGGAGGAGCCGGGGAGUAAACAAUAUCAGAUUCGGCUUCCGGCAGAGCUACAGUCAUAUGUGGGAUUUUCAGUUUGGAGGCGGCGGCUUGAGCCGCUUCAUUUCCUUCUUUUGCAGUUAUUAAGAGUUUCGAUUCUGAAUCAGAUAAAUAAAACUCAAAUUCUUCUGCCAUAUACGCUGAAUUCAGUGGCGCCGCCGUGGCUCUAACUCGAAUUACAGCUAAAAACAUGAUCACGAACUCGAUUGUGUUUGGGAAAGUGAGAGCGAUAACAUCGCCAUGCUUAACACCGGCAGAUACAAGGUGAGAAGCAGCACGUUCAACAAGUUGUUGAAGGCGUGCAUGAGUAAUAUCAAACUUGCCGGAAGUGGAAAUCGCACGGCGAGAAGGGAAUUUCUCAGCAACAUGUUUCAAUAAUCCAGUGAGCGUCAUACUCUCCAUUAGCAAAAUCAAUAACCACGAAAAGCAAACGAAUAUUGAUACUGAAUUGUAAAUGAAAAUAAAUGAAA
Molecule: unclassified non-coding RNA, 1433 nt
Filed under: Hevea brasiliensis (rubber tree)
Lineage: Eukaryota; Viridiplantae; Streptophyta; Magnoliopsida; Malpighiales; Euphorbiaceae
Source: RNAcentral